AUUGAACGCUGGCGGCAGGCUUAGCACAUGCAAGUCGAGCGGGGGAAGGUAGCUUGCUACCGGACCUAGCGGCGGACGGGUGAGUAAUGCUUAGGAAUCUGCCUAUUAGUGGGGGACAACAUCUCGAAAGGGAUGCUAAUACCGCAUACGUCCUACGGGAGAAAGCAGGGGAUCACUUGUGACCUUGCGCUAAUAGAUGAGCCUAAGUCGGAUUAGCUAGUUGGUGGGGUAAAGGCCUACCAAGGCGACGAUCUGUAGCGGGUCUGAGAGGAUGAUCCGCCACACUGGGACUGAGACACGGCCCAGACUCCUACGGGAGGCAGCAGUGGGGAAUAUUGGACAAUGGGGGAAACCCUGAUCCAGCCAUGCCGCGUGUGUGAAGAAGGCUUUAUGGUUGUAAAGCACUUUAAGCGAGGAGGAGGCUACUGAGACUAAUGCUCUUGGAUAGUGGACGUUACUCGCAGAAUAAGCACCGGCUAACUCUGUGCCAGCAGCCGCCGUAA
Molecule: ribosomal RNA, 503 nt
Filed under: uncultured bacterium
Lineage: Bacteria
Description: partial 16S ribosomal RNA
Rfam family: Bacterial small subunit ribosomal RNA
Source: RNAcentral